Molecule: ribosomal RNA, 570 nt
Filed under: uncultured archaeon
Lineage: Archaea
Description: bacterial SSU rRNA
Rfam family: Archaeal small subunit ribosomal RNA
Source: RNAcentral
ACACGUGGACACCUACCCUAUGGUGGGGGAUAACCCCGGGAAACUGGGGAUAAUACCCCAUAGACUAUGGAUGCUGGAAUGCUCUGUAGCCGAAAGGUCAGCCGCCAUAGGAUGGGUCUGCGGCCGAUUAGGUUGUUGUUGGGGUAACGGCCCAACAAGCCUGUAAUCGGUACGGGUUGUGGGAGCAAGAGCCCGGAGAUGGAUUCUGAGACACGAAUCCAGGCCCUACGAGGCGCAGCAGGCGCGAAAACUUUACAAUGCGGGAAACCGUGAUAAGGGAACUCCGAGUGCCCGUUAAAUCGGGCUGUCCAUCAGUUUAAAAAACUGGUGAAGAAAGGGCCGGGCAAGACCGGUGCCAGCCGCCGCGGUAAUACCGGCGGCUCGAGUGGUGGCCACUAUUACUGGGCUUAAAGCGUUCGUAGCUGGUUUGUUAAGUCUCUGGGGAAAUCUUCCGGCUUAACCGGAAGGCAUCUCAGGGAUACUGGCAGACUAGGGACCGGAAGAGGUGAGGGGUACUCCAGGGGUAGGAGUGAAAUCCUGUAAUCCUUGGGGGACCACCUGUGGCGAAGG